GACGAACGCUGGCGGCGUGCUUAAAACAUGCAAGUCGAACGGACUUCUCAUGAAGCUUGCGAUUGAGAAGUUAGUGGCGGACGGGUGAGUAACGCGUGGGCAACCUGCCCCUGAGCCCGGGAUAACAGUUCGAAAGGACUGCUAAGACCGGAUAUACUUGCGGUGAAGCAUCUCACUGCAAGGAAAGGGAACGCUCAGGGAUGGGCCCGCGUCCCAUUAGCUAGUUGGUGAGGUAACGGCCCACCAAGGCGACGAUGGGUAGCCGGCCUGAGAGGGUGAACGGCCACACUGGGACUGAGACACGGCCCAGACUCCUACGGGAGCAGCAGUUGGGAAUCUUCGGCAAUGGGCCAAGCCUGACCGAGCAACGCCGCGUGAGUGAUGAAGGUUUUCGGAUUGUAAGCUCUGUCUUCCGGGACGAUAAUGACGGUACCGGAGGAGGAAGCCACGGCUAACUACGUCGCCAGCACGCCGACGGUAAAGUGUGUGUA
RNAcentral lists this ribosomal RNA (491 nucleotides) under uncultured bacterium. RNAcentral describes it as "bacterial SSU rRNA". It matches the Rfam family "Bacterial small subunit ribosomal RNA", at positions 28 to 533 of the family's 1533-position model. The record is from RNAcentral.